UACAGAGGGUGCGAGCGUUAAUCGGAAUUACUGGGCGUAAAGCGCGCGUAGGCGGAUCUGCAAGUCGGGGGUGAAAUCCCGAGGCUCAACCUCGGAACUGCCUUCGAUACUGCGGGUCUCGAGUCCGGGAGAGGUGAGUGGAAUUCCUAGUGUAGAGGUGAAAUUCGUAGAUAUUAGGAAGAACACCAGUGGCGAAGGCGGCUCACUGGCCCGGUACUGACGCUGAGGCGCGAAAGCGUGGGGAGCAAACAGG
RNAcentral lists this ribosomal RNA (253 nucleotides) under uncultured bacterium. Its description in RNAcentral is "partial 16S ribosomal RNA". It matches the Rfam family "Bacterial small subunit ribosomal RNA", at positions 524 to 776 of the family's 1533-position model. The record is from RNAcentral.